UUGGGAUCGGUGAGGGGGGAUUGUGGUUUUAUUCAAACUCACCAUCCCCUCCGCUGGCCCCAA
RNAcentral lists this microRNA precursor (63 nucleotides) under anatid alphaherpesvirus 1. RNAcentral describes it as "Anatid alphaherpesvirus 1 microRNA dev-mir-D18 precursor". Its record names the gene dev-mir-D18. The record is from miRBase by way of RNAcentral. Lineage: Duplodnaviria; Heunggongvirae; Peploviricota; Herviviricetes; Herpesvirales; Orthoherpesviridae.